RNA transcript from Daphnia carinata, 990 nucleotides. It is a transcript of the gene named stromal cell-derived factor 2-like, with no coding region annotated. The transcript has 5 exons. Lineage: Eukaryota; Metazoa; Arthropoda; Branchiopoda; Diplostraca; Daphniidae. The record is from RefSeq and is a predicted model, not a curated record.
AAUAGAGAAGCUCUUCGUGGACUUAAUUUUAAGUAGACAGUUCGUUUAGCAACAUUAUAUAGUUCGUGUACACUUUUUGUCAAAAUGAUUACCACCCUUAUUAAACUUACUUUAUUUAUUUUAAUGUGUGUCCAUAUUGUAGCAGGACGUGCCGGCCAGUAUGUUACAUGUGGUUCAGCAAUAAAGCUUCAGAAUUUGGCAUACAAGAUUCGGUUACAUUCUCAUGAUGUUAAAUAUGGUUCUGGUAGUGGGCAACAGUCAGUUACAGGAACAGAUACCACAGAUGAUGUCAAUUCACAUUGGGCAAUUCUUGGCCCUGUGAAUAAGACAUGUAAGAGAGGUGAACCCAUUGAAUGUGGAUCCACCAUUCGGUUUCAUCAUUUAACUACAAGGAAAUUUCUUCAUUCACACUUAUUCUCAUCGCCUCUUUCCGGAAGUCAAGAAGUAUCUGCAUUUGGUGAAAAUGGUAAUAUUUGUUGUGAAUCUUCUCUAGAAACAUUGUCAGACUCAAUUUCAAAUGCAGGUGUUGGUGAUACUGGUGAUUAUUGGAAAGUGGUGUGUGAUGGCGACUUUUGGGAACGUGAUGAUAAUGUUGUCUUCAGGCAUGUUGACACUAAUGUCUACUUAGCAACUUCAGGACAUGCAUAUGGCAGACCCAUUAAUGGUCAACUAGAAAUUGUUGGUUUAACGAGAUUAGAUUCUUCUUGUCAAUGGAAGACAGCUGAAGGUCUGUAUAUCCAUACCAGUACCUUCAAUCCCAAGCAAAAUAUGAAGCCAGAACACAAUGAACUGUAAAAAAAAAGUCGAUUUUGAUACAUAUCCAUCCCUUAACAAUACAAUUGAAUGGUGAUGGCUUAUCAUUCUUAAGAAAAAUUUUCUGUCAGAUUUAUCGACACCCACAUUCUGCCACAACCAUUUCGUCAUAGCGGUAUUUAUAGGUGAGAAUGCCUCGUUCGUCAUAGUAUAAUAAGCUGAUCGGUGCUAAUCGGG